This 1727-nucleotide ribosomal RNA is filed under the name Chlamydomonas pitschmannii. RNAcentral describes it as "LSU rRNA". It matches the Rfam family "Bacterial large subunit ribosomal RNA", at positions 1222 to 2925 of the family's 2925-position model. Lineage: Eukaryota; Viridiplantae; Chlorophyta; Chlorophyceae; Chlamydomonadales; Chlamydomonadaceae. The record is from RNAcentral.
AAAUAGGUAGGGGAGCGUUCUCUUGUCGGGUGAAGUUUUCACGGAAGUGAUGAUGGACGAAUGAGAAGCGAGAAUGUAGGUUUGAGUAACGAAAACAUUGGUGAGAAUCCAAUGCCCCGAAAACCUAAGGGUUCCUCCACUAGGUUCGUCCAUGGGGGGUGAGUCAGGACCUAAGGCAAGUUCGAUAAUUCGAAGUAGUCGAUGGAAAACAGGUUAAUAUUCCUGUACUAAUUUUAUUGGGAACCAAGUGACGAAGGAGACUAAACAGAAACUGCUACUGGAUUUCAGUGGAAGCAUUUAGGUGUUGAGAGCUAGAAGAAAAACUAUGCUUGAGCUAAGGUGCAAUCCCUCUAUUAUAGUAAUGUGUACUUUCGAGUAUAUUUCCACUAUAGUGGAGUCUGUGAUGUCAAACUUCCAAGAAAAGCUUGAACACCUUAACAAUUUAAUUACCUGUACCUGAAACCGACACAGGUAGGUUGGUAGAGAAUACCAAGGGGCGCGAGAGAACUCUCUCUAAGGAACUCGGCAAACUGGCCCCGUAACUUCGGAAGAAGGGGCGCCCUUUUAAAUUUAACGAUAAAAAAGGGUCGCAGUGACCAGGCUCAAGCAACUGUUUAUCAAAAACACAGGUCUCCGCAAAGUCGUAAGACGAUAUAUGGGGGCUGACACCUGCCCAGUGCCGGAAGGUUAAGGAAGUUGGUUAUUAAGUAAUUAAGAAGCUGACGACCGAAGCCCCGGUGAACGGCGGCCGUAACUAUAACGGUCCUAAGGUAGCGAAAUUCAUUGCCAAGUAAGUUUUGGCCUGCACGAAAGGUGUAAUGAUUUGAGCGCUGUCUCGGAGAGAGACUCGGUGAAAUAGACUUGUCCCGUGAAGAUGCGGACUACCUACACUUGGACAGAAAGACCCUAUGAAGCUUGACUGUAUCUUGGAAUUGGGUUCGGGCUUUUCUUGCGCAGCCUAGGUGGGAGGCUUUGAGGGUUUCCUUCCGGGGAAAUCGGAGCCAUCAGUGAGAGACCACUCUGGAAGAGCUAGAAUCCUAAUGGUGAUCUUUGAAUCAAGACACUUGACAGUUUCAGGUGGGCAGUUUAUCUGGGGCGGAUGCCUCCUAAAGCGUAACGGAGGCGUGCAAAGGUUCUCUCAGUCUGGACGGAAAUCAGACAGCGAGUGUAAAGGCAAAAGAGAGCUUGACUGUAAGACCAACAAGUCGAGCAGGGGCGAAAGCCGGCCUUAGUGAUCCGACGGUGCCGUGUGGAAGGGCCGUCGCUCAACGGAUAAAAGUUACUCUAGGGAUAACAGGCUGAUCUUCCCCAAGAGUCCAUAUCGACGGGAAGGUUUGGCACCUCGAUGUCGGCUUGUCACAUCCUGGAGCGGCAGUACGUUCCAAGGGUUGGGCUGUUCGCCCAUUAAAGUGGUACAUGAGCUGGGUUCAAAACGUCGUGAGACAGUUUGGUCCAUAUCCGGUGUAGGCGUUAGAGCAUUGAGAGGAGCCUUCAGUAGUACGAGAGGAUUCUGAAAGGUAAGCCAAUAGUGUAUCGGUUAUUUUUCCAAAAGUAAACGCCGAGUAGCCACGCUUAUAGGGAUAACUGCUGAAAGCAUCUAAGUAGGAAACCCACCUCAAGAUGAGUGCUCUCAUCAGGUCGCGGCAAGACAAGCCGUUAUAUAGGCAUUAGGUGUACAAUCAGUAAUGAUUUUAGCCGAGAUGUACUAAAGACCGAUUGAUUUUGAC